RNAcentral lists this ribosomal RNA (798 nucleotides) under uncultured bacterium. Its description in RNAcentral is "bacterial SSU rRNA". It matches the Rfam family "Bacterial small subunit ribosomal RNA", at positions 1 to 808 of the family's 1533-position model. The record is from RNAcentral.
UUCGCCCUUAGAGUUUGAUCCUGGCUCAAGAGGAACGCUGGCGGCGCGCCUAACACAUGCAAGUCGAACGGAGCUUAGAGAGCUUGCUUUUUAAGCUUAGUGGCGAACGGGUGAGUAACGCGUGAGUAACCUGCCCUAGAGUGGGGGACAACAGUUGGAAACGACUGCUAAUACCGCAUAAGCCCACGGUGCCGCAUGACACUGAGGGAAAAGGAUUUAUUCGCUUUAGGAUGGACUCGCGUCCAAUUAGCUAGUUGGUGAGGUAACGGCCCACCAAGGCGACGAUUGGUAGCCGGACUGAGAGGUUGAACGGCCACAUUGGAACUGAGACACGGCCCACACUCCUACGGGAGGCAGCAGUGGGGGAUAUUGCACAAUGGGGGAAACCCUGAUGCAGCGACGCCGCGUGGAAGAAGAAGGUUUUCGGAUUGUAAAACUCCUGUCGUUAGGGACGAUAAUGACGGUACCUAAAAAAAAAAGCCCCGGCUAACUACGUGCCAGCAGCCGCGGUAAAACGUAGGGUGCAAGCGUUGUCCGGAAUUACUGGGUGUAAAGGGAGCGCAGGCGGGAAGACAAGUUGGAAGUGAAAACCAUGGGCUCAACCCAUGAAUUGCUUUCAAAACUGUUUUUCUUGAGUAGUGCAGAGGUAGAUGGAAUUCCCGGUGUAGCGGUGGAAUGCGUAGAUAUCGGGAGGAACACCAGUGGCGAAGGCGGUCUACUGGGCACCAACUGACGCUGAGGCUCGAAAGCAUGGGUAGCAAACAGGAUUAGAUACCCUGGUAGUCCAUGCCGUAAACG